AUUCUUCUGAACUGAGGUUGACUGCAGAUAACCAAAACCAUGGAUAAGUCCUUGCAGCCAGGACAUGUGACCUGAUUCUGAGAAAUGGCCCCAUAGAAGUUUGAUAAGGAGGUUUUGAAAUGCUUUCCUUCCCGAUGAAAAGAACUAUGUGAGAAGAAAACUACUUUUUUUUUUCCAUCUUGGACAUAGUUGUAUGAAGUGUGAUGCCUGGAGUUAUGACAGCCAUCUUGCAACCAUGAGAAGAUAAGGCUGUGGAUGAAAACCAAUAUACCAAGAAUGGUUGUGUUAAAAGAUGAAAAGAGCUUGGGUCUUGAAUGUCAUCACUGAACACUUCACCAGUUUUCAAACAGCCCUAUUUCUGAACUCUUGUGAUGUGAGAUUACUAAUGUCCUCAUUAUUUAAGCUACAUUAGUAGUUGGAUUUCUUGUCACAUGUAGCUGAAAAUAUCCUAGCUAAUACAUCAACAAAUAAAUGAGUAAAUAAUAAAAUUUUUAAUUAAAAAGAAAAAUUGAGCUCUAUACAUAUUGUAUGCAUGUAUCAAAAUCUCACUUGUACUCUAUAAAUAUGUUCAACUAUUAUGGAUCCAUUUUUUAAACAUACAAAUUUGAACUCUUUUUUUUUCUUUUUAUGUUUCUGCCAGCAGGAAGUCAAAAUCUGAACUCUUUUUGUGUUUAUAUGCAUCCGUUUUUUAAAUGACCUGAUGAAAUUAAAACUGUUGAGAAAAAUUAAAAAAAAAAAAGAAAUGAGUGGGCCGGGCGCAGUGGCUCACGCCUGUAAUCCCAGCACUUUGGGAGGCAGAGGCAGAUGGAUCAUGAGAUCAGGAGAUCGAGACCAACCUGACUAAUAUGGUGAAGCCCCGUCUCUACUAAAAAUACAAAAAAUUAGCCAGGCAUGGUGGCGGGUGCCUGUAGUACCAGCUACUUGGGAGGCUGAGACAGGAGAAUGGCGUGAACCUGGGAGGCAGAGCUUGCGGUGAGCUGAGAUCACGCCACUGCACUCCAGCCUGGAUGACACAGCAAGACCCCAUCUCAAAAAAAAAAAAAAAAAAAAGAAAGGAGUAAAUAGAAAAUGAAAGUAGAGGAUACAAACCUCUUGGAAAAGAGACCCAAGAGACGGCAUGUAACUAGAAAUGGCAGGAGAGACAAAAGAUAUAUUCUGAGGAGAAACAGAAAGAGUGAUAGCAAACAUGCCAAAACAUGUGAAGGUGAUAUUCCACAGGAGGUGGGUAAGGGUAGCUAGGAGCUGGGAGUAUUAGCUUUAGAAACACAGAAGUAAAAACUCCUCCUUUAAAAUCAAAAAGAGGCCGGGCGUGGUGGCUCACACUUGUAAUCCCAGCACUUUGGGAGGCCAAGGUGGGUGGAUCAUUUGAGGUCAGGAGUUUGAGACCAGCCUGGCCAACAUGGUGAAACCCCGUCUGUACUAAAAAUACAAAAAUUAGCCGGGCAUGGUGGUGCUUGCCUGUAACCCCAGAUACUCGGGAGGCUGAGGCACAAGAAUCACUUGAACCUGGGAGAUGGAGGUUGCAAUAAGCCAAGAUGGCGCCACUACACUCCAGUCCAGGUGACAGAGUGAGACCCUAUCUCAAUAAAUAAAUAAAUAAAAUCAAAAAGAAAGCCAGGAAGAGGAAAGAUGAUAGAACAGGUAUCAGAUAAUACCAGUUUCUUUUACUAAACUCAUCCAAGGAUUACAGUAAAUUAAGCAAUUAAAUAAUGAGUGAUGCUUAAUUUUGACUUCAGAAUGUCAAUAGCAUGACUUCUUCUCAAAGGACAGACGUAUCUGUAAGUGUAAGAAAAUUGGGAAACAUGGCUACAUUUGGAGCCAAGGAAGUUUUACUAUACAAUAUUUAGAAUAACUGACAUUAUUUCUCUUUUCUGUUGUUGAAAAUGCAGCCCCUUCCAUUAUAAAACCAUGUAUCUCAUGGAAUGUGAUUUUCCAUCUCUAUUUAUCUCUAUUUAUCCUUCCAGCCCAUUCAUUUCUAAGCUUAAACUAUCUAUUGCUCACCCUGAGCACUUGGAGAAUGUUACUUUUCCUCUUCAACUGAUGGAAUCCAGAACUGAAGGUAGCCAGAGAUUAGCAAUGAGGAAAUGGAAGCAGACAGUAAUGAAGUCUAUGGCAAGUUAGUGAAGGUGUAAAACAGAAUAAUAAAAAAUAUUUUAUUAAUCAAAAAAGGUAAGAAAAAAAGGAAACAUAAAACAAACAGGUCUACAUAUAGAAACCAAUGGUAGACAGUAGAAAUAAACUCAACUGUAUCAGUUUUAGUAUAAACUAACUAAAUAACCCAAGUAAAAAGCCAAGACUGUAAUACUGGAUAAAAAUAUAUGUUGCUUACAACAACCACAUUUUAAGUAUAAGAAAUAGAUUGAAUGUGAGAGGAUAGAAAAAGAGUCACCAUGUAAAUAUUCACCACAAGGGAGCUGAGGUAGCUAUCCUAAUAUCAGACAAAAGAGAUUGUAAUGCAAGAAGUGUUACCAAACAUAAAGAGGGGCACUUUAUGUGAUCAGGACUGAAUCCAACAGAAAGAUAUCACAGUCCUAAAUCCAAACACACUCAAUAACAUAGCUUCAAAAUACAAAAAGUAAGAAAUUGACAGAUCUAAAUUCCACUGAGAUUGGGAGGCCAAAGCAGGCGUAUCACUUGAGGUCAGGAGUUUCAGACCAGCCUGGCCAACAUGGUGAAACCCCAUCUCUACCAAAAUUACAAAAAAUGAACUGGGCUUGGUGGUGCAUGCCUGUAAUCCCAGCUUCUCAAGAGGCUGAAGCAGGAGAAUCACUUGAAUCUGGGAGGCGGAGGUUGCAGUGAGCCGAGAUCAUGCCACUGCACUCCAGCCGGGGCAACAGAGAGACACUCCAUCUCAAAAAUAAAUAAACAAAUUCCACUGAGGGAAGUCAUUGAUAGAAUUCAAGACAAGUCUGAAGAGUGAAACACUACUAAUUCUGAACUCAUUAUCACAAAGCUCCUAACUUGUAUGAGUCCUGACUGGCAUGAAGUUGUCUCAGGGACUCAAACGGGGGCAGCAGUUUGAUGGUUAGCUUCAUCUAGCCCACUAGAUCUCUUGCAAGGUGAGACCUCUAGAAAACAUCUCCAGCACUUCAUUUAAAGUAUUAUGGGUAUAUUAUAUCCUUAAGUAAGAAACGGUGCAGCCCAUCUGCAUUUUUCUAAAUGAAUUCCAAUCAGGGUCAGCAGGACACCAGGGCCCUGUCCCAGACUUGAGAUCCACCAGCUCCUGUUUUUGUCAAAAAAUAAACAUAAUCUGGCAGCUGCAUCUUGGAACCCGGCAGCUCAGGAGUCCUCAUCAGACACUUAGAACAGCAAAGGUCUCCAGGAUUAUGGUCCAAAGGGUCAUAAAUAUGUAGCGAAUUUUAAAAUGCUGGUUUCCUCCCCAGCAAGGAGUACAUCACUCAGUUCUGCUGUGUCACCAGUAAUAUCUACCCCAAAAGCUACUAUUUCAGGAGGACCAUUUAUCUCUCUCCAUCCUGUCUGCGUAGCAGGCCAUUGCCUGCCCCCACAACACUCACUGCCCCCUCUCAAAAUCUCAGGCCAUAAUCUCUGCAUUAGAAUCACUUUCUCCAGAAACAGAUCAUUCUGCUACAUUUGCCCAGCUUUAACCUUCAAUUUCAAGUUUGCUUCAGAACCCACAACCCAGCAGUACACAGUGAUUGUCUUUUCUUCUUCUACUGCAAGCUUUGUAGUCUAAUAUGUACCACAGGAAGAAAAUACACAGGACAAGUUUGGUUAGUCUGAAAUUUCCUUAUUAUCUCUAAGAGUGCUGUGGGUGGUUGAGGCACUCUGGAAUGUCAUGGGACUUUAGCUUACUGUAAUUUACCAGUUGUGAAAUAUAUCAGUUCCUUUUUCUUUUCUUAAAAUUUUCUUUUAUUAAAGAGUCAACAAAUUUAGCACUUGAUGGGUCCCCUUAAAUGUAAAUAGCCAGGUACCUUUAGAAGUCUAAAAGUAAAAUGAAACUAACCAAAUAGUUAGUGGCUUCUCUACCGGUGUUGGCCAAAUUGGGAGAGACAGAGGACCUAGAAAUUUAUAUCUUUCAAUUAUUGAAUAGGAAAAAUUAAAGAAAUAUAGCUAUCAUUUAAUCCAGCUUCUGUCUCUCAUAAAAAAUGGAUUCAGUGGCUUGUGCAAACCAAAUGUCCCAGACCUCAGAAGCUCCAGAGACCCAAAUCAGGCCCCACUUCCAGUCUGUAACACAGCCCCAGCCUGUAAUGCUCCAACUUAGUUGGUCAAAAGAACUUAGUAUUUUAUCAGAUUCUUCCCCCUCACGUCCAGCCCGCCAAAUAUCUCAAGGGAACCCAGGAGGUGACACGAUCCACACUCCCUCCUAACAGCCACAACUGCCCCUCCAGCCCCCAGGCCUGCCCUGCAGCCUUCCCACCCUUCCCCAGGCCGCUCUCCCCAGCCCUGGCCUCCUGCGUUCCUCUUGUGCAGCUUCUCUCGGGCACAGACACAAACCUCACCGGAGUUGUGUGGGAAGAUCCCAAAGCCCUUCCCAAUGCCACCCUGCAGGGUACUGGGAUGCAUGGGGGUAGUUGUGGCCUGUGGUCCCACUCAUGCCCCUGCUUCUUGUCCCUCAUGUCACUUCUUUCCCAGGUGAACAUGGUCCUUUUUUGCCUUCAGUCCCCAAAUCCACCUGUACAAAUUUGCCAGAUAUGGCAGGCUCUCCAUGAAGGUUUUGGGAUAACACAGAGGGAGCACAGCGUACCCACCAAACAGAACAACCUUGAGGUAGAAUAGGGUCUGAAGGCAGGGAACCUAAGGCUGUUUCACAUUGACUUCAUAGAACUAAAUUGAAAGGAAAACCCUAACUUUCCAUGCCUAAGUAACAAAAGGACCAGAGGCUACUCCCUUUGCAAACCCCCACCUUUUCUACAGGGCAGAUGGGAAACUGAAAGUAUCUCUGAUUGGUGCCAAGCAACCAAUCAGAUGUUUGCAUAGGAGUGUAACUUCAUAACUUCACUUCAGCCUCUGACUGGUUGCUGUCCACAGCCAAUCAGACUGAUUGCGGACCAAGUCUUCCUUUGCAUAAAAGUGCAACUUUGUAACUUCACCUUAGCCUCUCAUGCUAAAGUGAAUCUUAGGAGUUUGCAUAGGAGUGUGACCCUUGUAACCACUUCAGCCUCUGAGUGGAAAGCAACCAGAUUGAUUGCAGGCCACCACUUCAUUUACAUGGGUGAACACCAGGUGGCCAGUGGGAAACCUCUAGGAGGUAUUUGGACCCAAGAAGAUUGUGUAUCAGGACCCUUGUGUCCCUAUGCUCGGGCCCACCCCCACACUGUGGACAGUACUUUCAUUUUCAAUAAAUCUCUGCUUUUGUUGCCUCACUCUUCCCUUACUUUGUUUGUGUGUUUUGCCCAAUUCUUUGUUCAAGAUGCCAAGAACCUGGACAUGCUUCACCAACAGCAACCUGAAAUUGAAAACCGCUAAUCAUUGUUCUUAAAAGGUCCUUGGCCAUCCAAGCCCUGGGGGUUUUCUACUGGCAGCCCUGAUCUCAUACUCAUCCCACCACCAGUCCCUGGGUCCUCCCCAUCCUUCUGCUCUUAUCUCCACUGCUUCUCCUUUCCCAGGCUCUUCUUCCCUCUCCAGAGCUACCCUGACAUUUCAGUUUCAUCUUCUUUUAUUGUACUGUGUGUUUCAGCAAUCUGAGUGUUACUGUCUCCCACUCAUCCUCACCUUUUGAAGAAAGAACCAAAAACAAAAACAAAAAAAGUCAAUAUAGGCCUUUCAAGAUACUCCAAAAACUUAAGAAAAAAGUGUUAAGGCUAUAUUACAAGACCCCAGAAAAAUGAUGCUCAGAAGACAAAAGCAGUAAUUUUUAGUUUAAAUAGUACUUUUUCUCUGGCAGUAAGUACAUCAGGGAGAGUCAAGACUUCCUCUUGGAAAAGUAUGCCAUCUGGUUCUUGUCAUACUGUUGUGCUCCUUAACUCAUUUCAUGCAAAAUUUCCAGCACCAUGUUUGAGGGACCCUGAUUACUCCUCAUCCAUGCAGUUUCAGAGCCACAGGAGAGAUGCAUGUGGGUGGGCAGAAGUGGAAGUUGUUUAUGAGCAUGAAGUAUUUCUGAGAAAUGAACGCAUUGAUGUUGGGAUUUGAAAUCUGAUUUAUCUCUUUGAUGAUUACGGGAGGAAAUUUUAUUAUAAACAAUAAUAUUUGCUGGCAUAUGCAUGGAUGUCUGAACUCAGAUGAUAAAAACUAGAGGAUUUUGAGCAUCUUGGAAAAAAAUUGUACAAUUAAUUUAAGAUUUCUUACAUGACCUAGAAAAUGAAAAGGGGAAGCAAAUACACUGGAAAAAAAAGAAGGUGGAGGAGGAUCACAUUACUCCUUCACAGUUAAUUAGAAGAACUUUCAACCAAAACACAUAACUGGGUAACAAAUACCAGGUAAUUUUCUUUGACUGAAUUUUUUUUCACUUCAUUUUCUUUGAAGUGAAAAAAAGUAAUUUUUAAAUACAGGAAAUAAUAUUUUAUGACUGAGUAUUCUCUUCAAAGAAUCUGGGUCAGCAGCUCAUUUCAAAUUUUCAGUGCCUAGAGGACGAUAAUACUUAGUGCUGUUUGCUGGUGAUUUACAACACUUUCGUGGCUUAAGACCAAGAAUAUACAUAUUAAAAAUCAUGCUCUGCCUGAAUCCAACAAGCAGAUGCCCCACCUUCUUUUAAGGAAGAACAUGACAAUAAUGAACGGAUAAUAGAGUACAAACAAAGACACUCAAACUGCAUUUCCUAAUGUUGCAAAUGUUAAUAUUGAGUAACAAAGCAUCAUUUCUAUUAAAGCUGGCCUUCAGCCACUCCCUUAUGAGGUAGGUGGAAAGAAAUCUUUUUACUUUCCCAUAAUUCUACUACUUACGGGAAAGCAAGUUGACUUUGCCCAGCAUUGAUGCAAAGAGCAUGACACAGAGUUCAAGCCGCAGCACUGCUGCUCAGGAGAGUGGAAAAGAGAAAAGUUAUUGGCACAAUAGCAACCAAGUGUUUCAUCUAAAUGUUCUGUUUCUUGAGCUCCCAGGUAACUCAGCUUCACAUCUUUUCCUUGUACAGGUCAACUCCACUUAGGUAGAAUGUGAAUAUAUAGUAUGAGAGGCCAAAAACCCAUACCUAUAUAAGCAAAAUUAUCUCCCCCUACUGCCAAUUCAUAAAAAUAACACCUGCCAGAAUGGAACAGAAUGCUGAAAAGUCUACCUUGAAAAGAUGAGCGAUUUUCAAGCCAAGAAAACUUGAAUGUAUGAAACCCCCUAGAAAGAAUGUGUCAUCCAGGGGGUAAUUGGCCCAUCGCAGAAACAUGGAAAAGAGGAAAAGGAAGACAGCAGGGCACAGUGUUCAUAAGAAAGAGACACAGGAUGCUUUUUAAGAAACUUGGGUGUGAAAGCAAAACAGGCAAUAUUUAGAAAGGAACUUUUGGUCAAUGGGUGGAAAUGGGUUAAAAUAGGAGCCAUUUGCACAUAAUUAUAUUCUAAGGGGAAGGAAGCAAUAGAGAGAGCAAUUGAAAAUGUAAGGAAGAGAGGGAAGAACUGAUGUGGGUGAGGGUGCAUGUUUAGAACACAGGCUGGGAAGAGUCGGCCGCGGGAGUCACACUGCUAAUAAAAGGCAGAGACCAGGGGUUUUUGGACCUGGGUGCAAAUUGUGGUCUUGCCACUUUCUAUCUGAGGGACCUUGUCACCCUGAUGGUGAAAAACAAGCCUGUAACAGAAGAAAGGAAAGACAAGAACUGGGAGGCUGUGAUAAGGGAGCUGCAUAUAUCAGCAGUGCAGCAAGUCUGGCUGUUGACAUGGUUCUUGGUGAGCCCAAGAGAGCUGACUGCUGGAAAAGAGUAGAGGAGAACAUUUUCAGCCUCAGAAAUAUCACUGGCCUCUGAUGGGAGAGAUAAGUGGUCUCAGGGCCUAAUGAGUGCUGGAGAAUUCAUUCAUUCAUUCAGUGAACAUGACUGAGGCCUCUCACUUUGCUAGACAUUUUGGAAGACAGGGGUCAAAAUCACAGUUCCUACUCUCAAUUAGCUCACAGCCCUGUACUAGUGAUGGACAAAGAACCAGUAUGUGACAGUUCAGACUAAUAAGCCCAACAAGAGAGGGAUAUACAGGACACUGUGGGACCCCUAAAGGGAGCACCUUGUGCAGAGGUAGAAGGAUAGGAAUGAACGAGGGGUGACGGGUAACAGGAAGAGAGAGAAGCACCGCAGGAGUCUCUGAAGAGUGUUCACAGGGGGUGCGAGGCUUGCUGUGCAGAAACCAAUAGGGGCAGGUGAGAAAUGCUGACCCCAAGGGAUGAGCAGGCUCAUGUCAGGGUGCUACAACCGUCCCCUCCUCUUCACUCUUUCCUGCACCCCAGACUCCAAGUCUUAAACUAGGUUAUCUCCCCAGUGGCCUGGCCUGCCCCCCGAAUGCUCUCAAACCAGUAUCUUCUAACCCUAGUCAAAAAUUACCCCUUCCCUUCAGCUAGCCAUUAGAAUUGAAACAAAUUCCCACUGCCAUGUGAAAGUCUGAUUAUCCUACUGUUCCCAAGGCACCAGCCUUUUAGUGGGAUGUUUGCUGUAGUAGAUUGUAUCUUCCAAAAAUGGCCACAAAAUGUUUCUGAGUCCACAUGCUCAUCCAGAAACUUUCUACUCCCUCAUUAAGAGAUAGAAUCUAUUUCCCUUCCCCUUGAAAUUGGGCUGCCUUUGUGACUUCUUCAAUAAAAAGAGCUGCUUGGAACCCCCACCCACAGCCCUUACCUCCCCUGCAUCCAUGAGCACACCCCUCUGGGACUAUACUGUCUACCAUUGCCUCCCUGACUUGGGACUUUGGCUCUGGA
Molecule: long non-coding RNA, 8773 nt
Filed under: Homo sapiens (human)
Lineage: Eukaryota; Metazoa; Chordata; Mammalia; Primates; Hominidae
Description: non-protein coding lnc-RARRES1-2:2
Source: RNAcentral